This is a non-coding RNA of Schistosoma rodhaini, 46 nucleotides long. The record is from Rfam. Lineage: Eukaryota; Metazoa; Platyhelminthes; Trematoda; Strigeidida; Schistosomatidae.
GCUCUUCUGAGGAGUCUCACGAUAAGACGAAACGGCCGUCCAGUAU